GUAGGGUGCGAGCGUUAAUCGGAAUUACUGGGCGUAAAGCGUGCGCAGGCGGUCUUGUAAGACAGAGGUGAAAUCCCUGGGCUCAACCUAGGAAUGGCCUUUGUGACUGCAAGGCUGGAGUGCGGCAGAGGGGGAUGGAAUUCCGCGUGUAGCAGUGAAAUGCGUAGAUAUGCGGAGGAACACCGAUGGCGAAGGCAGUCCCCUGGGCCUGCACUGACGCUCAUGCACGAAAGCGUGGGGAGCAAACAGGAUUAGAUACCCUGGUAGUCCCACGCCCCUAAACGAUGUCGACUGGUUGUUGGGCCUUAGGUGGCUCAGUAACGAAGCUAACGCGUGAAGUCGACCGCCUGGGGAGUACGGCCGCAAGGUUG
This 371-nucleotide ribosomal RNA is filed under the name uncultured organism. RNAcentral's name for it is "partial 16S ribosomal RNA". It matches the Rfam family "Bacterial small subunit ribosomal RNA", at positions 527 to 896 of the family's 1533-position model. The record is from RNAcentral.